CAGGGUGGAAGCUUGUGCAUGCAGAUGUGUUCCGCCCGCCAGCAUCGUUGCCAAUGCUGUUCUGUGUGGCUGUUGGAA
This 78-nucleotide transfer RNA is filed under the name Pelagophyceae sp. RCC2696. The record is from RNAcentral. Lineage: Eukaryota; Pelagophyceae.